Molecule: long non-coding RNA, 8013 nt
Organism: Anas platyrhynchos (mallard)
Lineage: Eukaryota; Metazoa; Chordata; Aves; Anseriformes; Anatidae
Source: RefSeq, a predicted model, not a curated record
GUGGUUGGGAGAUGUUUUGGUGGUAAAGAGCUUGUGGGGCUCAGAGAAACAGCACUCACAGUGAGGAUGGAUCUCCAGGGGCUUCAUAGAGACAGAUCCCCAGGAAAUCAUAAACAGCAACACCAAAGCGUUGGCAAUUUGCUGUAUUUAUAGCGAGUGGCUGACUGAGUUAGUGAUUUGCACCCCCUUCAGAUGAGGAUAAAUGAUACCCCUCCAUUUGUACACAACCUGUCACUGCUGGGAGGAAAAAAAUUAAGCUGCUACAAACCCCAGCGCAAUUCACCUAGCAUCAUCCAGAAAGGCCUGCGGCUUCCACUUGCCAAAAAUCCAUUACAGCUGCUCCCUUAGGAGCAUACACCUUGCUUUAACAAGCAGACAAUGCCCUGCUCCAUUCAGAGCUGCACACACAGUUAGGAUCUGGAGAGGCCGUAGUCAAAGCGAAGACGCCAAUAUUGUAGCUCGUAUUUCACGGAGAGUCUCCCAACAGACUCCAGCACAUCAAAAGCUGAGCCCUGCGACUGUGAUGAAGAUGUAGUCACAGGGUUCAGUGCUAUCAGUGCCUGAAAAAGGGGAAUCCAAAAUGCAUUGCACCAGCCCUUAGAUGUGGUACUUCUUUACUCUCCGAUGUUCUGCAAGCUCUCAAAAGCCCUUUAUUCCAAUGAUGGCUGAGUAAAUGUUAUUGUCCUCUUCCCUCUGCCUGCUACCACUCCUUCCCCAUAAAUCUCUUGGCUUUCAGGAGAUCUGUGGAAGAUACAUUCCUAAAAUGCUUCUGUGUUUUGCUGGUGGUGCUGCUGCUGGAAGGCAGCAUGAUAAUCCAUGUGGAAAACAAGCUGAGGAAUUUCACUGAGCUGACAGGAAGGACAGAGGCCUCAAUCUGCCCCAAGAAAAACUUGUGGCUUUCUUUCAGUGCUUAUUUCGGAGUCUGACAUCUGGGUUGGGAAAAUUCCAGCUCUGGUAUUUAAAUUCCGAGCUUCUUCCUCAACUCUGGGCUCUCACGUGGCGCAGCUCACCCUGGACUCAGUGCUCUGCAGGGACGGUUGUGAAAUUGGCCCAACGAGUGUGGUGAGAGCAGGAUGCCCUGCUCCAACCAGCCCUGCCUCAGCAGGGAGAGGAGAUGCUGGGAGCCCAGGUUACUGAGGUGCUUUCAAAGCCUCUCAUGUACAAGGCACCACAGAAUUUAUUCAGUGCUUGGCUUUCAUUUUCUAUUGAAACUGACAAGAAAUCCCCCAAUGAGCUACAGCAGAGUUAAUAAGCUUAAUAAGCUAACAAUUGUCGUUACCUUUUCAGAAACUGCUUUUUUCUUUUUGCAACUGUUUUAAUUUCUUUUUCUUGUAGUAUGUGGAGCACUCUGCCUGUACUGUGAUGGGGGACGGAUGCUAGCACCAGCUUGCUGGGGGUGUUUGCCUUUACUUUGCUUCCCAAGUACCACGCAGUGCCAGCUAUCUGAUCAGUCAGUGGCUUAGCACCAGCAGGCAGCAGACCAUGAAACCUGAGCGACUUUCAGGACUUUCAGGAAGGUGAGGGAGAGGUGCUGAAGUAGAAAACAGGAGAGGAAAGUUUUAAAAUCGAGAUCUAUUGGUGGGAUAACAAGAAGCACACUUGGAGGAUGGGAUUUAGCUUUCCAUCUAACUCAUCUUCCAAGAUGUGCAGCAAGUGUGAUCCCAUCAUAAGAUGAGACAAUACCUGACAGCUGGGCAGUGGUGGCCAGUUCACAUUGUCCAAAAUCAAUCGGACAGGGACAUCGUCCAAAAAUCAGUCAGACAAGGAUACCUUUUGUCCUUAGGCAGCAAAGGCUGAAUUGGUGAUCAAGAAACAAACAGUCCAUAUUCAAUUUACUCUCUCUUAGUAUAGCUCUAUAAUAAUUUUAGAAUAAUUCCUCAACUUUUUAUCCUAAUGCCUCUUCCAAAACCAGAACAAAUACAUAGAAAACCAUCCUCCAUAUUGAAAAACUGUUCACACAAAGCUUUUCAAGGUGUUAAUAUCUUAGUGAUUUGGCACCUUUGCUCUGUGACAAUCUCUGAUUUACACCUUCAGCCUCCUGUCACACACAGGUUGUGCUCUCGGGAUUAGAGAAGCCAUUGACAGAACCGUUUCCCUGAGACUGCGGUGAGAUUGCAGAAGGGGCAUCUAACCCGGCACACACAAGCUCCUGUGUUUGCCAGAGGCAGGCAGAGGGUGUCUUUUGCAUCCCCAGAAAGGGCUGUGUUUGGUUAAGCUUUUGAAGUGACUCAUUAGCCAGCUUCAGGGAGGGAAGUGGUUAUUCCUAAGUGCUCCACAAACCCAGGGGGGUGGGAUCUAGUGGGAGCCCAAAGCCUCAAAGUCUCCCAAAAUAAAUGUGACAACCUUCAUCCAGCAGCCCACUUCAUGCUGCUUGCUGUUCUUUGCUGCCUCACGUAAGGCUGGAAACAAAUACAUGCAAGGAAAGAAAAUUAACUGCACGAGAACAAUUGGAGAGGUGUAUGUGCGGCUUCUCCCCCGGUGCUGCCAGACGCCAACUGCCUUUUAAUUAGUGCUGUUUGCAUCGUGUGGGGGAGACGGCGCAGAAUCUUAAUUACUCCCCCAAACACAGAUCCAAACGUCAGUGCAGACCUUUCAACAAGGUGGGGGGACCCCAGAAAAAACAGCCCAGAGUCUACCUGCGUAAUCCUCAGCAAAGACUUGUGCUACAAACACAAAGCUCUCUCCGAGCUGUGUGUCAGUCAGCAGUGUGCUAAUACUGGGGUAACUUAAUAUUUGUACAGGAGGCACCUGGUGGCAUGGUACUCUGAGGUCAGCUCUUCAGACUUCCAGCUCUUUCAGAUAUAUUAUUUUUCUUGCCAUGCUGGUGGCAGUCCUGUGGAUCUGAAGGCACGUAGCUGUCUCACAGCCCAUGUGAGUAACACUUAAGCUGAAUAAUGCUCGGAGUUAUCACAGCCAAUAUGGCCCUACUGCAUCAGGUGCUGGCAAAUUCAUUCCCUUUCCGCUGAACUCUCAGGUUUUCUCAAAAGUCUGUACUUUAAAAAUACUUUUGGUGCUUUUUUAGCAGAAAGCACUGAGCAAAGUCAAUUGCAAGUCACAACUUUCUGGGGAAUGGAUGAUUUUUCCCAUGGUUUCACAGCUUUAAAUCAACAAUGAACAGCUCAAAAGACUGCAGCUAAUUUCAUAUGAUAUUCUGGAGCCAGGGAGACUGAAAAUUAUAGGUCUAUAUAGUGACUACAGAAAGUUGGCUUCUGCUCUAGGUAUGACAGCACAUAUGUUACAGGAUUGAAUGAAACGUAGUCCAGCCAACGGGCUUAUCUUUCACUACCAGUGUGUCACAAAGAAAUAAUUAAAAAAAAAAAAAUCAGAAUGACAGCUCUUGGUCAGCCAUGGCACUGCACCAGUGGAUCCUUACCUUACACAGGGCUGCACGAGGUCUGCCCUCUCUGAAAGCAACCCCAGUAUCACCAAAGCACUGUAUACGAAGCAGCACCUUGCCAAAAUCCCCACGCCAAGAGUUGGUAACACAGGCCAGAAGUCUGUUGUACCACUGACGAAGUGAGCUCUGCUGCUGGGAGGCUGAUUGAAUAAACCCAAACAGCCGCCACCACUGGUACUGACUGCUGGCAGGGAGGCACCUUCAUCUGAAUACAAAACUGAACGCAUAAAAAAGAGACCACGCUAUUUUCUAGCCUGUGGGUACCUGCCACGAGGCACCUGUCACUCCCCUGUCCUCUUCACAACUGCUUCCAGGUUGCUGCAGCUCAUUACACGCUGCUUUAGUUCAGCUAACAAGCUGAAACAGCAGUAUCAUCCUAUUCCUUAUGCAUCAGCCCUGGUGACACCCCUGCGAGCUCACCUGAUGUGUCUGCAUUUUUUUUUCUUUGAGAUAAUAGGAAGCAGUUUUCCUGAUGCAGCAAUUAGCAAAGGCUCCCUUAAAACUGUAGGCUCUUGCUGAACAUCCAAAUCCACCCUAUCGCUCUAGUCAUGUGGCCACCUGUGUGCAUUUACAACUCCUAUCAACCACAGAGAAAUAAGGAUACCUUCCUUGCUCUGUCUUGCUGGCAACUGCCUCCAGCUGCAAAAAAACAAAGGAAGCCUUAGGUGGCACAGGGUAGCUAUUUUUCUUCAAGGGGUUGAAGGGAACCCAAUCUCUACCAUGUCUCCUGUUAAUUCACCAACGUACUGAGGGCACAAGUGAGAUGCUUGCUUCCCAUCUCAACACAAGUGCCUACAAAGAACCUCUUGACUGGUUUACUGGGGAUGUCGGUGGUCAAACUCAGCAAUUCAAAUUUGCAAAGAAGAGCCUUUACUGGUGACAGGAGCCAUUUAGAGAUGCACUCUCUGAGAGGCACAAAGGGAGCAGGUAGCUUGAUACUCUUUACAGCAAAUGUAUCCUCAAAGAAGCUUUCCCUUGCUUAGUUCUGCAAAGGGGAUGUCUGUAAAAUAAUAUUCCCCUCUACACUGGGGUAGCUCUGUUUGAGCUAAAAAUUCUAUGCCUAUUAAAGCAAGGACUUCAGAAAAAGUGGAAUUUAAUAGCUGUUGUAGGGUGGCGGAAAGGAGGAACUCCCACAGAUGAAGAGAGGACAAGCUGGCUAAAAAUCAACCCCCCCCUAUUGUUUCUGAACAGAGCAUCACACAAGGUGAAAAGCCAUUUGUACAGCUAAGGAACCCACAAGGACUGAAUAGCUUUUUGGGAGAGCAUCAGUACAGCAGGUGCUCCAGGGGAGCAGUCAGAUAAUAUGACUUCAGCUCUCAUGAGUCAGACGUUUUCCAGCAAGCUCUCCUUUGUUCAUCCAGUAUUUUACUAUUGGACACCUUAUCCUGAAGCAGUGCCAUGACUGAUAGCCUUCUGUUCUCUGUCUUUGGAAAAUCCCUCUGAUCUCACUUGUUCAUAGAGAAAGCACUGAGUUAUUUCCACUUAGCUAAGAGGAAGAGGAGCAGGAGAAACAGGCUGGUAAAGUAGGUCAUGGUGAGACAGAUGUCUUCAGGUUUAACAAAGCCCAGGCCCAACAAGCUGCCUUGAAAUGGCACAACCUGAAAUCAUUAGUGUAAAUACAGGGCAGCUAGAGGGAACGGCAACAGGUAGGCAAGGACUGACAGGCACCUUCUAAUUCAGGAAUUGAUUAUUUACACAAAGUGGCACAACUCACACCCUUCAUUGUUUCACAGCUUCCAACUUUUUUUAUGGAAAUAAUGCAGUUAUUUUGAAGAUGACCAGCAGAACAUGUGCCAGGAUGUGUUUUAGAUGCUGGCGUGUAAGUGCUUAGAGAAUACAUUGUUAUUCCCCCUUUCCAAACUUAAGAGAUGGGCAACAUGAGUAAAGCCUGUAAGCUCUCCAGUUAGGACUUGUCAAGAUCUGCAUUUUUAUAAUUAGAAGAGCUUAUUUCAGCCAAAGAGAGACAGAUUUUGAGAGUAGGCCAUAUUUGGAUGAGAAUGCAACUCGAGUGCUAUAGAUGGUUUGAUGCAAAUAAAAAUAAGAGGUGCAGAUACCCUCGUGCCAUAAAUCAAUGUGCAGCAUCUCCAUGUGCUGAAUGGUUGCUAUAAAUCUCCGGCCCAGAAUAGGUACCCAAAACUUUGGGUUGUCACACCACUUCUGUCUUAAAAGAGCAAACACAUUUAGGGAAAGUUCUCCCCAGCUUACUGCAAUGGCAGCACCUGGCAAAGCAGCCCCUGACAGUGAGUCCUCCACCUAGAGCGUGUGUAGGCACUGAGGAAUGAUUGCCAACAAUUGCCUGAGAGGGGAAGUUCAGUCUUUUAAACCCUGUUAGCUAUUUGGGGCACGUGUAUCCUAUUGUGCCCCUCUGCAAAGCAAAGAAGAGGGCACAGAGAGCCUAGGGGUAGUGAUACGGUUAUUGUACGAGUGGGAGAGUACAGAGCAGAUGUGUGCUGAGAAAUCAGGCACUGGAGCUGUAAAGGAGAGUGGUGAGGCUUGGGCAAAGUGAAAGGGAGACUGCGACUGCCUCAUCUCUGUCGAGCAGGCCCAGCAGAGAAGAAAGAGCUGUCUGUCCUAAUAAGAGCUCAGUGAGCAAGCCUAACUGGACAAGCUCGCAGCAGUACCUGUAUUUCACAUCAAACACUGUUGAGUCUUCGUCCUCAUCGUCUUCUUCAUUCAGAGGAGCCAUUUCUACCCGCUCAGCUGGAGUGGUGAUUAUGUCAUACUUCCUGGUCUUCUUAAUCCUCUUGCCAGACCUGAAACACAAAAGAUGGGGAGGGAAGGAUCACGUUUAUACAGCAUUCCCUAAAAAAGCUAAACCUGUCCCCUACAGACACGACCCACCGACAAGUCACUGCUUCAGACCUCCCCAGACACAAAGGCUGUGGAGCCAGCCUGUGUCCCCUCCUGCUGCCUUUCCAGGGCCCCAAUUUGUGCCUGUCAGCGUACAGAACAGUUUCUUGUCAAGUGCAAUCCAGAUCAACGUCAGUCUUUUAGCUGCUGACAAUCCGGAGAUCCUUUGGCAUCCAGGGCCGGCGCAGAGCAGCAGCCCACCGCGUCCUCCUGCUGCCAUGCUCAGGAAGCGAGAGACAGCCUUAAUCAGCAGCAGCAGCCACUGGUUUGGUGAGCACAUCUAAAUGAGAACACUCAGGUUAAACCCUACUGAGACGAGGGAAUGUUCUAGGCAGGAUUAUAAGGCGCAAAGGGGUGGUGAUAUUUGGGUACAGACAGCCUGCUCUUUUCCUUUCUUGAUAUUGAGCCAAGCUCGAGGCUCCCACAGCAAAAACCUUUAGCCCUGUCUGAGAAGUUCCGUGCUCAGCGCUGUGCAAGCGCUAUGAAAAAUAAUCAGCUCUGAUUUGAAGCUAACUGUACCCAUCACCUCGCCUCCUGUACACAACAGCCUUAUGCUCCUUUGGAAAUGGAGAUACUCAGGUGCCUGCGUGUCUCAGGGUUUUGUGAGCUCUAAUACUUACUUUAAAUUAACAAACACUCAGUGCGUGCCUCUUCCACCAGUUCUCCGCCUCUGACUUGAAUUGUGCGAGUCCUUUUUCCUUCACCUCCUCCUUUAAUGCACAUUAGGAGGGUCACACUGCUUAUGCAGGGAUCCAGUUUCAUGAUUAUACAUUUAAGAAGGUGUCGAUGUGUACAGCUAGUCUUUGGGGAGGAAAGAGGAUGUUUUUGGUUCACAAGCUGCAGAAUUCCCCUUUAACCUUUAUAAAACAGAACUGGCAACUGCCAAGCAUGGAAAGGGCGCUGCUGCAGGUACAAGCAAGCAGCCCCUAAUUUCAGGUAAUCACAACUACAGAGCAGACAGCACGUCAUGAGCGCACUUUCACUGUCAAGAAGUCUUGCCCUGGCACGUCAAGCAAGGCGCGUUGGAUUCAGCGCUGCCGCUUUUGCACCAAGAACAGAUGCCUUGGAAUGAGUUAGCAGCAAGAAGCAAGAUGCAGGAAUUACAAAAAGACUGGAGACCCGUUUGCAUCUGGUCCUACGUCCGCCAGAGCUGACCACAAUGUCCUCUUCUUGCCUUAUGGUAAAGGAAGUUUAAAUCUGUGAGUGCCAAGAGCUUUGAUAUGAGUCUCACUGCCUCUGCCUUUGGCUGCAAGUCCAAGGCUGAACAAACUGGUCCCAGCCCGUGGGACGGAGCACUUUGCAUUUCCUCCCUGUUCCGAAGAUGAUAGUUGCAUUAAAAGCAUGAAGACAGACGUCCCCUGUCACCUGAUCUUUACAGCAAUCUGUGCUGUGGCAUCACGGAGCACAGGGUGGUUUGUGCCAUUACCGCUGUUGUUGAAACAAGCAAUUUUAUAUCCAGUACAGUAGGACUCUUAACCUAAACACUUGAAAAUCCUUUUGAAAACACUUGUCUGUAUUAUUCGGCUUCUCAGCCAAGACCUAGCAGCAAAAUGCUGCAAGCAGGUCUCAUCUUACAAGUAAUGCGUUGCUUUUACAAGAAACAUUUACUCAUGCUGUGAAGCAUAAACAAAGACUAAAACCAACCGGUGUCUACCUGUCAGAACAAACAAAGCACAGUUUCAGUGUUUUGCCUUGUAUCGACGGUCUGCAGUGGGUUUCCGUUGGUUCCCCUAUUUAAGAGCCUACCUGCAACAGGCUGAGAGACA